Populus trichocarpa (black cottonwood) is the source of this 1703-nucleotide long non-coding RNA. RefSeq lists it as uncharacterized. Lineage: Eukaryota; Viridiplantae; Streptophyta; Magnoliopsida; Malpighiales; Salicaceae. The transcript has 2 exons. The record is from RefSeq and is a predicted model, not a curated record.
AUGACCAUAACUCAUGGACGGCCAGACCCCAUAUUCUCUCCCUUCUCUCUCCUUUGGGGCCCUUUUUUUCUUUCCAAUAAAACUAAAUGAUUAUUUUCAUCAUCAUGUUUGUUGUUUUGUCCAUGGUAUUUAGCACAAAACCCUUAUUCAUUCCCUUCUGUUUCGUCCCUUUAUAGCUACAUUUCUUGAGAACUUUGUUCAUCAUCAAGAAAAGAGAAAAGCUUGCCAAGAAUUUAGAGAAGAUGGUAGCUAGCUAGGAAGCUUAACUUUUGUGGUGAAUGUUGUCUGGUUCAAGGCAUGGCCACCACAUCUCUUGGUGAAUAUAUGUCCUCGGACCAGGCUUCAUUCCCCUCAAUUAAUGCUUCCAUACAUGCAUGAGUUCUUCAGCUAUAUAUAUAUUGCUUGAUUGAUCAUCAUCAAUUUCAAGAUAUGGAGGUGAUGUCUAGUGUUUUCUUUUUCCUUUUAUUUGAUUUUGGUAAUUUAUCUGGUUUUCUCUAAUCGGAUUCAAUGUUUUAGUAAAUUUCACAUAGAUCAAGGUUGUUGACUAACUAGUAUCAGAUUGGUGUAAUGAUGAUCCAUUUUGACUGUCUUGAGAUCACAUGGGUAGACACAUAAAUUUCUAUCAUUACUUCUUGUUAUAAGUAUGAAAGAUCCAAAUUACUAUUCAAUUAUUACUUAUGUUUUUCAACUUAGGUUAUCAUGGGGCUAUGAGAUUUUGUCAGUUCUCCUCUUUUUCUCCCUUUUCCAAUUAACCUUUUUGUGUUUUAUCAUCAUUGGAUACAUGGAUUUUCACAUGUUCAAAUGUUGUUUCAAAGGAAAUGGGUGUGUGUCUGCAACUCUCUUCUCGAGCAGUAGCUAGGAGAGGUUCUAAAAGAAACGAUAAAAGAAAUUUUGUCAAAAACUUAGCCUGCAGAACUUGAAAGAACAAAACCCUUUUGAAGACCAAGGCAUGCAUUCUCUUUUUUUAUAUGUUAUUUCUUGAUGGGGGUAACUGGAUCUGCAGAGUUAUGUAGAUAGAUUAUAGAUAUAUCGCUGCUCUCUAAUUACCUUUACCAAUGUUUAAUUUCCAGUUCAUUAUAUAUUUAUUCUAAACUCAACAUCGUAGAAUAUAUCCAUUGACAUUUUAGUGGAAGACAAGCUAGCAGCUGCACUGAAGAUUUGAAGCUGAGUAUAGCAUGCAGUGGAUAUAUUCUCUAGUAUUUGAUUCCCAUGGCCACACUUUCUUUACUAAAAGAGAGGUAUCUUUCUACUUCUAUCUUUUCACAUCCUUUCUUCUUGUUGACGCAAUCAAAUUACUUGAUUAUCUUCUACGCAUUUUAUUCCCUUUCCAGAUCAUAGAUUUAAACCAUGUUUACGGCUAAAAUCUUGAUUGAUGUGUUCAAGUUGGUUUUAUCCUUUGGAAAAACACAUGACUUGAACUACAAAUGGCAUGGUACACCUUUCAAAUCCCUACGAAGGCAGCAUGAAGAAGCUCUGUAGCAAAUCUUGUUUAAUUGUGUUUUGUUUCUUGUGAAAUAGACAAAUGAGAAAGCACUGGGAUCUAACUCUAGAAUAUAAUGAUGUCUACACAUUAUCGUGGAAGAUUUUGAUAUCUUUGAUCAUCAGUUACAACUAGAGUUAUUGAUUUGUUCUGUGCAACUCUAGGGUGAAAACAGUUGCAUGGAAAAGGAAAGGUAGUCAUGGAAAUUCAAGCCAUGUCAUGC